UGGGGAAUUUUGGACAAUGGGCGAAAGCCUGAUCCAGCAAUGCCGCGUGCAGGAUGAAGGCCUUCGGGUUGUAAACUGCUUUUGUACGGAACGAAACGGUCUGAGUUAAUACCUCGGGCUAAUGACGGUACCGUAAGAAUAAGCACCGGCCAACUACGUGCCAGCAGCCGCGGUAAUACGUAGGGUGCAAGCGCUAAUCGGAAUUACUGGGCGUAAAGCGUGCGCAGGCGGUUUUGUAAGACAGAUGUGAAAUCCCCGGGCUUAACCUGGGAACUGCAUUUGUGACUGCAAGGCUAGAGUACGGCAGAGGGGGAUGGAAUUCCGCGUGUAGCAGUGAAAUGCGUAGAUAUGCGGAGGAACACCGAUGGCGAAGGCAAUCCCCUGGGCCUGUACUGACGCUCAUGCACGAAAGCGUGGGGAGCAAACAGGAUUAGAUACCCUGGUAGUCCACGCCCUAAACGAUGUCAACUGGUUGUUGGGUCUUCACUGACUCAGUAACGAAGCUAACGCGUGAAGUUGGCCGCCUGGGGAGUACGGCCGCAAGGUG
This 547-nucleotide ribosomal RNA is filed under the name uncultured bacterium. Its description in RNAcentral is "bacterial SSU rRNA". It matches the Rfam family "Bacterial small subunit ribosomal RNA", at positions 355 to 895 of the family's 1533-position model. The record is from RNAcentral.